GACGGGGGCCCGCACAAGUGGUGGAGUAUGUGGUUUAAUUCGAUGCAACGCGAAGAACCUUACCUGGUCUUGACAUCCCAGAAAUCCCUUGGAAACUUGGGAGUGCUUCCAUUAGGAAGAAUCUGGAGACAGGUGCUGCAUGGCUGUCGUCAGCUCGUGUCGUGAGAUGUUGGGUUAAGUCCCGCAACGAGCGCAACCCUUGCCUUUAGUUGCCAGCAGUUCGGCUGGGCACUCUAAAGGGACUGCCGGUGUUAAACCGGAGGAAGGUGGGGAUGACGUCAAGUCCUCAUGGCCUUUAUGACCAGGGCUACACACGUACUACAAUGGCCGAUACAAAGGGCAGCGACAUUGCGAAAUGAAGCCAAUCCCAUAAAUUCGGUCUCAGUCCGGAUUGGAGUCUGCAACUCGACUCCAUGAAGUUGGAAUCGCUAGUAAUCGCGGAUCAGCACGCCGCGGUGAAUACGUUCCCGGGCCUU
This 476-nucleotide ribosomal RNA is filed under the name uncultured Desulfobulbus sp. RNAcentral describes it as "bacterial SSU rRNA". It matches the Rfam family "Bacterial small subunit ribosomal RNA", at positions 912 to 1382 of the family's 1533-position model. The record is from RNAcentral. Lineage: Bacteria; Pseudomonadati; Thermodesulfobacteriota; Desulfobulbia; Desulfobulbales; Desulfobulbaceae.